GGGCAGACAGUUCAGUUAUUAGAGCACGAGACUCUUAAUCUCAGGGUUGUGGGUUUGAGCCCCACGUUGGGCA
This is a non-coding RNA of Podarcis lilfordi (Lilford's wall lizard), 73 nucleotides long. The record is from the annotation of a GenBank genome assembly. Lineage: Eukaryota; Metazoa; Chordata; Lepidosauria; Squamata; Lacertidae.